AGCUCCAGACCUCAAAGAAAGUGAAGCUGUCAGGCAAGAAGAGGGAGACUCCCCUAGCCGGCUGCGAUGGUAUCUGAAGCGCAAAGAAGUUAAAUACUUGACCAAGUUCACACCAAGAUCUGAACCCAGGUAGUCUUACUUCAGAGCCUACGUUCUUAUCCGUGCCCAUUGCCAGCCUCGUGCUCAUUCAUUUGUACCGGGAAGCUCAUGCUUUAUCCCUAGAACUCCUCCAAUGGCAGUUUUGUACAGAUUGGAGGAAGUGGUGAACUCAGAUAGCAGAGUCAGGCACAAGAAGGAGGAUAUUAUUUGGUGCCCAUUCAGUUGUUGUGCCUGUUAACGGCUUAGUUUAAAAAGAUGGCAGAGAGAAGAGUUCCUGAGAAGACCAGAUAGGACAUUUGCAUCUCAAAGAUGGGGAAACAAGUUUGAAGCAGGGUGUCCUGACUACAAAUGCAGUGUUGUUUCCAAGAUGCCGCAAUGGUGGCUGCCUCUUGGCUCAGUGCCAGCUCACUCCGGGAGUGAAGAUGAGUUCCUGGGCUCCACGUCACCCAACACGAUGCCACACAUCAUGCAUGCUCUGUGAAUAGCUCUUGGUGAAAAUGGAAAUUAAACCAGAAUGUGAACAUGCUGAAUGAAUCGGACUCCCCAGAGAUUUGGAGGAGAAGAAAACCUCCCACUCGCCUUUGACUUUUGGAUUUCUUGUUUCCCUCAUGUUUGGAUUGCACUUUAAGAAGUCCAUCUGGAAGUUCACUUUUUAUAUUUUGCAAAUGCAAGUAGAGCUUAUUAUCAAAAGACAAACCCCUAAAGGAAGAAAAAC
Aethalodelphis obliquidens (Pacific white-sided dolphin) is the source of this 814-nucleotide long non-coding RNA. RefSeq lists it as uncharacterized. The transcript has 6 exons. NCBI's taxonomy places the organism in Eukaryota, Metazoa, Chordata, Mammalia, Artiodactyla, Delphinidae. The record is from RefSeq and is a predicted model, not a curated record.